GGAUCAGUGGGUCGGUCGUGCCACUGGUAUGUACUGGCCCUACUGGUUCCUCCUUCUUGAGGAACUGUGAUGCCAUUAAUUUGGUGUUGCAGGGAAACAGGACUGUUACUUUGAAAAAAUUAGAGUGUUUAAAGCAGGCUUACGCUUGAAUACAUUAGCAUGGAAUAAUAAAAUAGGACUUUGGUUUUAUUUUGUUGGUUUUCGAGACUGAAGUA
This 215-nucleotide ribosomal RNA is filed under the name uncultured fungus. Its description in RNAcentral is "partial small subunit ribosomal RNA". The stretch from base 40 to 215 matches the Rfam family "Eukaryotic small subunit ribosomal RNA", at positions 686 to 864 of the family's 1831-position model. The record is from RNAcentral. Lineage: Eukaryota; Fungi.